Molecule: ribosomal RNA, 171 nt
Filed under: Salmonella enterica subsp. enterica serovar Typhimurium str. ST4581
Lineage: Bacteria; Pseudomonadati; Pseudomonadota; Gammaproteobacteria; Enterobacterales; Enterobacteriaceae
Description: partial 16S ribosomal RNA
Rfam family: Bacterial small subunit ribosomal RNA
Source: RNAcentral
AAAUUGAAGAGUUUGAUCAUGGCUCAGAUUGAACGCUGGCGGCAGGGCCUAACACAUGCAAGUCGAACGGUAACAGGAAGCAGCUUGCUGCUUCGCUGACGAGUGGCGGACGGGUGAGUAAUGUCUGGGAAACUGCCUGAUGGAGGGGGAUAACGUACUGGAAACGGUGGC